Long non-coding RNA from Anolis carolinensis (green anole), 33662 nucleotides. RefSeq lists it as uncharacterized. The transcript is spliced from 2 exons. The record is from RefSeq and is a predicted model, not a curated record. Lineage: Eukaryota; Metazoa; Chordata; Lepidosauria; Squamata; Anolidae.
AACACACUUUCCAGUUUGCUGUGGUAGGACUACCUUGUCCCUGACUAAGAGUUUGAAUAUAAAGACAUGUCUUGUUCCUAUACUUGGAAGAGAAAAACUCUAAUCGUGUUCUUUUUAGCUGCAUCUUGACUACGAAGGAUGACUAAGAAAAAUGAGUCACUAGCCUGUAUUAGUUUAUUUGAUAGAUGAUUUCCCAAAAUUAAAUGCAAACUUCUUAAUAAAUGUGCCUGGGAUCAAGAAGUUAAUCCCCAUAGCUUUUCAGCCAGAUGACGUGUAGAUUUUCAGUGGCCACUAAUAACGUGGGGUUAUAAUUAUUAUUAUGCAUGUGAUUUAAGUUAUUGUGCUGAUAUUUUAGUAUUAAAAUAUGCUUGCCCUUGUGUCAGUGUCUCAUUAAGGAGGAAAAAAAUCAAUUUAAAUAGGCAAAUGAAAGAAGUUACGUGCCGUGAAACACAAAACACAGAAGAGUAAUUGGAUUUGUGCAUUAUGCAGCACAUUUCAGCCAAAGGUUUAUUUUAAAAAAAAUACAUGUAAAGCUUGUGACAUUAUGCUUUUCUGGAAAAAAUACAUUUUAUAACUGUUUUGAAAUGCACAGUACAAUGUAUUCAACAGAAAAACAGGCCAUGAGUUAAAAGCGAGGUUGUUUACAUAACAGUGAUUCAUUGAGUGGUCAUCUGUUAAUUCACACAACCCAUAUGUGUGAGUUCGCAGACUACCCAAAGAAAUAUAGUGAAAGAUAAGGAAUCUGUCAUGACCUUUGUAAUGGUUUAUGUGGAAUGCCUUAAUUAGGCUCAUGUCAUGUUGGGUAAAGUCGAAGGAUGUGAGUUGCCCACUGGAAUGCAUACUUUUAGUAGAACAGGUUGCCCACUCCCUGCAGCCCUUCUUUGCUCCCUAAAUCUUUCUUCAGGAUAGACAAUGCACAGGGACAUGCAGGUAUAAAGAAGGAAAGUUUAAUUGCAUCAGCAGAAGUCAUCUGAUAGAAUAUUGCAUUUUAACUUCUAACUUUAUUUAUUUUUUUUACAUUCUAAUCUAGUGUGACUGAAUGAUGAUACUAGCAUUAUAAAUUAAAAUAAGUUGUUAUUUCUUGAUCUUGAAGACUUGGGCCUGAAUCUAAUUGCUGGAUUAGACAUAAUGAAACAGUUACUGAAUGGUAAUUCAACACAUACAUAAAAACCAGAUUCUUAAUUAAUUCAGACCAUAGCCAAUAUAUGAGGCACUCUGACUCUGUUUAGUGGUGUUUGCUUCAGAGAUUUUGGAGAAAAGAUGAGUUGUAAAUAGUAACAGAUCAAGCCUAAAUCUGAUUUUAUCUCUUUACUAUCAGUAUAGCAAGGAGAAAGCAGAUUUAGGCUCGAUCUGCACUGCCAGAUAAUGCAGUGGUAAAUAAUAUGGUAAGUGUCGACCUAUGUACUACAGUUCAAUGAAGUUCAAACUGAAUUAUAUGGCUCUACACUAACCUUAUAUAGUAAUGCAGUUAAAUUGCCUGAUUUUGCAGCGUAUAUCCAGGCCCAGACUAUUGAGCUGUAGUUCUAAAUUUAAUUAUUGGUGAGAACUUUGGUUCAUGUUAUUAUUUUAAGUUAGGAAUUGAUAACUGUAGAAGGAUAGGGGGCUAUCUUAGUCCCUCCCUGGAGAACAUGGAGGGCUUCCUCAUGUUGUUUCAAUAAGGCCUCUCUUUGGUCUGAACUGACUCAGAAUGAGUCCAGAAUGUGGUUGAAAUUCCUCUUGUGUCAUUUAGAAGAUAUUUUGGGACAAGUUUGGAAAAUAUUUUUUGUAAAAAUUUUCUUUGACACCUGAGUUGGGGCAGGUAGUCUCCAAACGUGGUUUGCGCUUCCUAGAAGGCUUUUGGGAAUAUUUUGUGGCAAACAAAAGUUCCCUAAGCCAGGGCUUCAUAAACCUUUCUACUCAGGACCCCUUUUGACCUGAGAAAUGUUUUCGUGACCUCAGAUAUAUUGAUAUAUAAAACAGAUAUAAAUUAAACAUUUAUGGAUAAACAGCAUUUGCAAAGCUUGCUAAAUAGGCUGGUUUUCCUUUAUGAAGUACAUCUGAAGUGUCUUUUGCAGACUCCACUGUAAACAUUGCACAACAGGUUCAUGUAAAUGUCUAAAACAGCUACUUGGUGACGUUCAGAAUUUUUUUUUACUGUUGCUAAAUUUUUUGGUAGGCCUCUGAACCCACAGUUUAAGAAGCAGUGCCCUAAGCAACCUCUAGUGAGAAAGGCAGAAGCAAGCUCCCUGUUGUAAUCCUCCCUCUCAUAAAAGAUUGCUGAGCAAAGCCCAUCAGUCAAUUGAUAGGGGAAACAGAUCCCCAUCACUUGCAGUGGCUGCUGCCUGAUAAAUGAAAAUUGCUGGACUUUCACAGUCUCAAUGUAUUUUUUUUAACUAGGGGAUACGUCAGAAUUGUGAAUAUGAAACUUUUGUGUAAUGUUAGCUUAUAUAUUCAGAAGUGACUUAAUUAAUUCCAGCCGUCAUUCCGAUGUUACCUAUUUCUAGUGGCUGAGACUCAGAGAUAGUAGAAAUAUAUAAUUUCAUGAACAGUCUGUGAAUGUGAAAAUAAAAUGAAAUCUGUAUUGUCAUCUCUGAGGCUUUGGUACAAUGCUAUCUACCUCAAAAAUGAAAAACAUGUUUUGUAUAAAAUCUUAAUAUAUUCAUAUUGGCACUUAGUCUAAGUGCAAGUCCAGUAACUUUACCUUGGUUUCUUUGGGGGGCAUUAACUGUGGGGAUGUGUUAUAAUAAAAUAAAAUGCUUUAGGAUGAACGUUCAAAUAGAGAAGUAUUUCAUUCUUCCGCUUCUCUGCUCCCAGUUGCUUUCUGCUAUACAGUAUUUCAAAUGUGUGCUUGCUGUUAGUGCUGAAGGAUGAAAUGAAGAAACACAAAGUGCAUUCUGCCUCUGUUCUGAACCGUUCUCCACUAACAUAGAUUUUAUCAUAUUAAAAGGACCCUGUGGGUAAUACAUUAUGGUACAGCUCUGGGAACAAUAUCUUGAAGUGGGAAACAAAGUCCCUCAACUUUGACAUCACAGGAAACUCCAUAGAAAACUAAGGUUUGAAUACAAUUGGCAUUAUAUUAUUAUUAUUAUUAUUAUUAUUAUUAUUAUUAUUAUUAUUAUUAUUAUUUAUACCCCACUUUUUCUCUUCACAAGGAGGCUCAAAGCAGUAUUUUAAUAAAAAAUAAAUGGCAUUAAAAUUUCACAGUUGUAAUCCAUAAAAAUGUAAUCAAAGCUAAAAACUACAGUACCCCUAACCUGAUCUUAAAAACCUUAAAAACAAGAUCCAAAAUUCACAGAACAUCAAUACUUUUAUCGACCAACCAGAAUGCACAAACACACAUCUUGCUAGGUUUUGAAGCUCCACUGGGUUACUCAUCAAGCAAAAGGUGUUUAAAAAAUCAUAGCAGAGUUUUAAAAAGAAAUGGUGUUGAAGUCACAGGCUGAUAUUUUGUAUUAGAAGUUGUUUCUGUUUCUCAGUGCAGGCCAAGAACACUGCCCUAUUGGCUAUGUGGGGGUUGGGAUUAUUUUACAAUCAUAAACUGGUUUGUAUAAAUUAUAGUGCAAUAUGAUGUUUAAAUGGAUAAACAACAGUUGGAGCUUUUGCUGUCUUUCUAAAUGUGCUAUAGAGACUAGUAUGAACUUGUGAAUUGAAGUGUUGAUUGAUGGAAUGGUGAAUGAAAGCCAAGAAGUCCUGGAUUGGAAAGAGGUGGGAUAUAAAUAUAAUAACAGCAACAACAAUAAUUAUAAUAUCACUUAUAAGCUGUAGUAUUAAGUGUACUUACCCAGAAUAUGUUUAUACACGUCUAUUGUACACAGUAGGAUUUAGAUCCAGGAAACAUAGAUGGAAUUGUUUUAUAGUUCAUGGGUUGCCUUUUGUACAUUUGGAAGCACAGGAUUUAAUUGGGGAGCUUAACUAUGCAUCAUAAAAGUCAUGCUUUGCAAGGCCUAAACAAAGUACAGUUGAAAGAAUUAAUUUUCAUUUUAUUUUGCUCUGCAAAGGUAAUUAAAGCAUCUUGUUUAGGGAAAGGUUAUUUUCAGUAAGCCCUGGGUUAAUGAAAUUGGUUCAGUUUGAUAUACCACUGACAAGCUGCUAUUGCUUCUCAUUUUUUGGAUCCUUUCCCAGACAUUCUGCCUGGCCAUCCAAAUAAUGCCAUCAAGCAUUGACUUCUUAGAGCAAGCUGAUCAUAGCUAUGUGCUGGUUCAAAUGUAAUGAAAAGCUAUAGCUUACCAUAGCUUUAGUGAUCUCAGGCUUGUACCAUCAAUGAUCAGUAAUGUAAGUGGGCGUGUGAGUCUUCCUCCACUGAUAUGCUUGAGCUAUGGGCUCCCAAUAGCCUGUGUACAACACCUGUUCUCAUUUAAUAGCAAGAAAAAAAUGUAAAAGCUUUCACUUCUCUUUCAGAAUAACAGCAGUUUGCUGUAUUUUUAAAAUUCAGACAAACUGGUUCAUCGUAUUGUAGCUUAUUAAAAGGAAGCACUUCAAACUUGCGGCAAUCUUUCAUGUACAGUAGAGUCUCACUUAUCCAACAUAAACGGGCCGGCAGGACAUUGGAUAAGCGAAAAUGUUGGAUAAUGAAGGAUUAAGGAAAAGCCUAUUAAACGUCAAAUGAUGUUAUGAUUUUACAAAUUAAGCACCAAAACAUUAUGUUUUACAACAAAUCGACUGAAAAAGCCAUUCAAUACAUGGUAACGUUCUGUCGUAAUUACUGUAUUUACGAAUUUAGCACCAAAACAUUGCAAUGUAUUGGAAACAUUGACUACAAAAACAUUGGCUACUAACAAAUAGACUACAAAUAAAGAUAGAAUUGCAUAAAAUGAACUUACAGUAACAACAUUGUCGGAAAUUAAAUCUGUAAAAAGUUCAGUCCUUGUUGCCUAGUGAAACAGCUGUGGAUCUGAAUGGGAGGCAGACUGCGUUGGAUAAUCCAGAACAUUGGAUAAGCGAAUGUUGGAUAAGGGAGACUACUGAAUUUCUAAAUAAUGUUUUAUCGAUGUACUAAGUCAGAUGUAAUUAUUGUAUAGAUUUUAUUGCACUUUGUAUUUCUUUGUUUCACAUUCUAUUUUACCUACACAUUUUAAAAAACAAACAUUAAUGAUUUCUCAUUAAUAUAUUUCCUUUUCUUGCAUAUAAUUUGGGGUAGCGGUUAUGAUUAAUUAGUUGCAGUAUGUAGUAGCUUCACAUCUAGCACUAUUAGACAAGCUUAUAUUUAUUUGCUGAAAGUGAUGAGCCACUGAGAUAGUAAAAUUCCUAACGAAAAAAUCCUCAUUUAUAUGCCAAUUAGUUAAUUCAAGAUACAUAACCCAACAAAUAGAUGAAUUCCCCCUAUUCCCACACACAUCAUGCAUUUAUCACCUGAUAUUUACUUUUGCUUUUAUUUCUGUGAUCUGUUUUCCCUCAGAUAGUGAUGUAUUGUUUUGCUCAAUGCACUAAGGUAGAUUUACACUAUUUUCAAAGCCAUUUAAGUAUUACUAGGGGCCCAUUGAGACAGGGCUCAAAAUGCAAGCGCCCUCGUGCUUUUACUGGAGGUGUCCAAACAACGCCUCUGGUAAAAGUGAAUUAAUUCAAGACAAAGCAGGAAAACCCUUAUGUGUCCUGAAUUAAUUAGAUAGCCCAUUAGAUCUGAGCCUUUCUGAAAGACUCAGUUCUAAUGGGCUAUGACCCCUAUAGGGACAGACCCACAGGUAGUCGCGCGACAACCUAGGGGUUGUCCACACACACAUCUCACCCCUUUUGGGCUCCUGGAGCCUAAAGGUGUGAGAUGGCGCCUCCCUUCCCAACUUCCCCAAAAGCUUUAAAAAUAAAGAAAAUCUUACCAGCCUACCAUUAGCCUCUCUGAAGCUUCCUGGAACAUACCAAUGAUGCACCAGGAAGUGAGGGGAAAUAGCUCCUCCCCCCACCUUCUUGUGUGUCAUUUGUACCUUCCAGGAUCCUGAAGAGGCCUAAUGAUGGCCCAGUAAGAUUUUCUUUAUUUUUAAAGCAUUUUGCGGGGAAGGUUGGGAUCGCCCCAUUCCAACACGGUUGUUACCAUGCUGGAAUGUGGACAGGCCCCAGGGAAAGCCCAGGUUUGGAGGGUAGAUGUAUAGACUUUAACCUCCUUCAAAGUGGGUUUCUUAAAACCACUCCGAAAUAGGUUUAAUGUCUGUCAGGAACUGUCCUACGUUGGUUAAGUAUGCUGUAGCCAACCUGUGACAUACAGUUGUCCUUACUGUGGCCCAAGAGAGACCCAGCCCCAUCUAUGGGUUGCGGGUAGGAUUGCCAGUUGAAAAACAGGGCAUGACGCUUAUUAUACCUUUGUAGAAGAGAAAAUUUUGACAGAUACUACUUGAUGUCAACAUGGUGUAGCAUUUUGUGUUUUGGACUAUGUGAGACUCCAGGAUUCAAAUCCCCACUCAGCCAUAUAAACCUAUUUGGUGAUCUUGAACAAGUCAUACCCUUUCAGCUUCAGAAGAAGACAAGCCUCCCUCUGAACAAAUUCUACCAAUCAAAUCCUGUCAGAAAUUUUCCUUAGGGACAUCAUAUGUUAGAAAUCACAUGAAGGCACAUGACAAUAACCUUGCCACAAGUACAAUCUCCUGAAAUCCCCACUUACACAUGACUCUUAAGACUACAAUACAUCUCUGUCAUGUUUUUCAACUAAUUGCAAGUAAGAAUGUGUUUUGGCAAAUGGCUUGGUGGGGAUUCUUUAGCCUCUUUGUCAGGAACUCAAGAGCAACUUUGAUCACUGUUUUAUGUCAUAAGACAUGAACUGUACUUUUAAGGUUAUUGAGUGUGUUCUUAUGGUCAUGUAAUCUGAAAGUAUAUUGAGUGGGAUUUGCAAACCAGAAUUUGGAGACAAGUCGCUGAUGAUAGUUUGCCAGUUAAGAUAUCAUGUGAAAUACAGGAAAUGGAGACGUUAAUCCACAAAAAAUGUUAUCCCUAUUCCCAUUUUUGCCAAAAGGAUGUGAUGUCAUUUCUUUUGGGCAGCAGCAGUCAUGGCAAAUGCACGCAUUUAUGACCUUUCACUUAAAAUUCCAAACAUUAAAAUUGAGGAUUUGCUUCUCCAAACUAUUUUCCUAUCUGGUUAAAUGUAAAAUUAGUUCCUGAAUUCAAAUGUAUACUAUAACUUUAUGCUAUAGUAAAAUGCAUAAUAUGCUAUAUUCAUGAUCAUCAUAUUUGUAUUUAAUAAGUUUAAAACUUUAUAAUAAUGCACUUUUUAGAAUUAUACUUAUGUUCGUUGUGUAUAUUUGAUUCUUGUGCACUACUAAUUUGUAUGUGUGUGUAUCAGAGAGAGAGAGAGCUAGAGAGAGACUUAAAUUAACAUAACUAAAGGGGAUAUGUUCCCAACCUUUGCAUAGAUAAAAAAAAUAGCAUGCCUUAUUGUUUUUUAAUGGGAUAAACAGUGGAGGUUUUGAGAAGAUGAUGCAGCUUGUUCUGGAAACCCUAAGUGAAUAAGUGAAACUGUGGCUAAGUGAAACUGCAUUUAUUGGUUCAAACACAUACAUGGUCACAUAUUCCAGUUUGAUGUCUGGUUCUCCAAACACUUUGGGCUAGUUUGAACGUGAUCUGUUCUGCUUAAAGACUUUGGAUUCAGCUGGAUAAUUUGCACAGAGUUAGAAUACAUCAUUUCCUUGUUUAGAAUUUAAUAAGAUAUAGGAAAAUAGCUUGGAUAGUUUCAGGACAAAACUUGUAUUUAAAAUAAAUGAAUAUAAGUCCUGUCUUGAAACUAUAAAAUUUCACUGAAUGUUCUCCUUUGACUUGUUGGAGAGGAAAAGGGACAGUGUGUCCUGGGUCAGCCUGCUCAGCAACUGCUCUUGAAAUGGAAUAGACAUUUAGGGGAAUGGUUUUUUUUUUAUUUCUUGUUAGUUGUAUUAACAUCCUGUCUAAGGAGCUCAGAGUGAUGUACAUGGAGUUCCUAGGCAGUCAUAUUUCUGGAAUUUCAGUUGACCUACAUCUGCUCAACUUUUAUAGAGGAACACAGGAAAUAUAUUCUUUCAAUAUGUGGAUUGAUUAAUGAUAAAUUGCACACACACACAGAAAAAGGAAUAUAAUUUUCUCUUAGGUGACACUGUAUAAUUUUAUUGUGUAUAUCAUCUUGUGUGUAUUGACUCUAUUUCUACUGUACCCAGUCUUCCUCCUUGCCUCUGGAUUAAUUUAAAAUGCGAUAGUAUAAAUGGUCCCUCAUUUUGGGCCUGUCUGGGUGGGCCCUGAGUAAAGAAGAAGCAGCCUAAAUUGUUACUGUUCCUACAGACUUUAAAAAGAUGUUUUGAAAGUCCACCGCAUAUUACUGUUUGUUCAAGGUAUACUAUUUAUAUUUCAGGAAUAAAUCAUAGGACUUUUUUUGGGAAUAAAUGAAUGUGUGAGGAAUAGUAGAAUCUGCAAACUUGGGUAGAAAAUGAUGACAACUGCUUUGCACUGAGGCAUUCUAGGCCUAAAUAGGUUCCUGUCUUAUAAAUUGUGAAAUCUCUUCAAAGUCAUCAUAGUUUAAUAUAUUAAUUUAAAAGGCUUGGAAAGUGGCACACAUGAGUAAUACAGAAAAAAGAAAAUCUGUUACUAUGGAUCUAUGCUCUUGAAUUUUGAUCCUUAGAAUAUUUGCAAUUCAGAGCUAUUGACAGUUAAAAUAACACCAAGUCUUGCAGUGAAGUGAUAAUUUUGUAAGUGCUUAAAUAUACUAUUUUCUCUCCUGGUGAAAGCAAAAAAAAAAAGGAUUUUUCUUCUAUAUGUUGGCUUCUUCUUUUUGUUAGAUGCCAUGAUCCCUCAAAAUACUUGUUUUUGCUUUAUUUGGAACACAUUCUUAGAUUCCUGUCUUUUAGGUAAUAGCAUCCAGUAUAUAUCUAAGUGUUGGACUUGCGUAGUCGUGUGACUACCAUGAUAAAUGCUUUGGAAGUUAUGAAUCUUAACUUGGUUUACCAUUCAAGUUUGUUAGCUGAAUUAAACCUUAGUUCCCUGGUUCAAAAUGAGUGAAACCAGCAUGCAUUGAUAGCAAGGGAUGGAUACAGGAAGAGUGCUUGUUCUAAUUUUCCCAUUGCUGGCUUUAUGAAUUGUGGAUUGUGAAGACAGGUGAUAGAAGUUUGAGAAAUAACCAGAGUGAUAGUUGUGUUCCUGUGGGCCACAUGUGCCUUACAGGAAUGUUUUAUUUGCCUCCAGGAUCCUCAGAGGCCUCUCUAUUGCCUUUCUUUUUCACAAACAAUGGACAGUCAUGCUUCCAGAGCCCAUCAAUAAAUGUGAUUCUCUAUUAAGUCCUUCUUGAAAUCCACCUGUCCUUGCUUAGAGACAAAACAUAAUUUUAAGAAGACUAAAGUAAUUUACCAAUAGGCAAUUAUAGUGCUUCUUUAACUGCCAUGGCAACAUCCCAUGUAAUUCUGACAUUUGUAGUUUAGGGCGAUUUUUAGGGAUCUUUGUGAAAAAAAGCUGAAUGUCCCUCCCUAGACAGCAGUCCAUAGGAAGCCGCCGGAACAGUUAAAGUGGAAUUAUAGUGCUAUAAUUAUGUGGUGUGAAAGAAUCUCAGGAAGUCAAAGAGCAGGGUAGAGCCUAUUGAUUUGUGGUAGCUGGAAAUAGGGCAGAUGUGGUCCCUGGGUCCUGUGCCAUUGCCCACAUCUGAACUCCAUGAUGAUGUUGUUAGUACCUUUGUUUUGAAUAAUACAUGUGUACUUACACAGCUUCCUUUUUAAACAGUGCCAAUUUUAGUAAUGCAUUUUAAUAUGUGAGGGACUUCAGACAAUUUGGCAAUAUUCAGAGUCUUCUUUCCUGGUGGCAAGAAUGCACUGCUGCUGAUGUUAGAAGCAAAUAAGGUUGUUAUGAUGACUUCCUGACCUGGGGUGCCUUAUCUGCCUGUUGCAGGGAUGGUCAUCCCCAGUGACAGCUGGAAAUUCCAAAAUGAGAAACAUGAUUAUCAGAGAGGUGGAACAUCGUUCUGAGCAUUUCAUGCUAAUUGUGAAAUGUUGAGGGAAAUGGUUUUCUGAUCUUGUCAGCCAAACAACUUUGUGGUGAUUUGGUAUAGCACAAAUGUAUGUUGGUUGGGACUGCAGUUUGUCAUCUAGAUGAACUGUAGGCUUUUGAAGUCCAUCAGUUAUCUACUAUGAUGGUUGGUUUUUCUUUGAGCAGAAUAAGAUAAGAUUUCUAAAUAUGACAUUAACAUGAGGACCAAAUGAGUCUCCUUCCCUGGUCAUAUUCAAAAAGAGCCUGGACAGUUGUCUGCUGGGGAUGCUUUAGUAUUGUGUAUGGGUUUGAAUCAAUAGCUCAUGGUACCCUGCCUAACUUUAUGAUUCUAUGAUAUGGAAUGGAGAUGUAUAUAAGCUUCUUAACACUUAGCUAAAUAAAUAAAAUAAAGAGUCCUGUAAGUUGUAAAGUUGAUAAAAAAAUGAAAGAAUAUCUCAGUGGUGGGACUUCAUUAAGACAGUAUGGAACAUGUAACCAUCUUAGUUAUGUAGCUCCGUAGUGUCAUCCUCACUUAGACUGGAUCUACUACCAAGUACAGUAGAGUCUCGCUUAUCCAACGUAAAUGGGCUGGCAGAAUGUUGGAUAAGCGAAUAUGUUGGAUAAUAAGGAGAGAUUAAGGAAAAGCCUAUUAAACAUUAAAUUAGGUUAUGAUUUUACAAAUUAAGCACCAAAACAUUAUGUUAUACAACAAAUUUGACAGAAAAAGUAGUUCAAUACACAGUAAUGCUAUGUUGUAAUUACUGUAUUUACGAAUUUAGCACCAAAAUAUCAUGUUGUAUUGAAAACAUGGACUACAAAAAUGUGUUGGAUAAUCCAGAACGUUGGAUAAGCGAGUGUUGGAUAAGUGAGACUCUACUGUAAUGCAGUCUGAACCAAUAAUUAUGACAGAUUUAUUUUGCAUUAGAUUUAUAGCAAGCUGUUAAAAGAAUGGUUUUAUUAUAAAAACGUAAUAUAAACAGCAAUUUACAUUGAGGAGUGUGAUUUUUUUCCAGUCAGCAUUUUUCUUGCUCAUAAUUUUAAAUUGUCUGGCAAGGAAGAAGUUAAGCACGUUGAGGGACCACUAUUUUGAGUUCGGAAAUAUAUCUUGGCAGAUUUAGUUUGGGUUCAGGAUUUUAUCCUGAUUUCAGGAUUUAUUUAACAUUAAACAGGCACACAUGGGAUAAAGUUACACAUAUCAGCAUAAAUUUUAUUACUUGGCUCUGAUCCUGUGUGGAAUUUCAGUUAAACCUUAGAACUGCUUCACACCUUAUUGAGCCCUAUAUGAACAUUGAACCAUGACUGCUACAGAAAAUGCACCAAGUAUGAAACAGGAUCCUUUGCUCCUAAAUAUGUGGAGGCUCACAGUAGAUGCACAUAAGGACACAUGACUGAUUUGCUUCCCUUACGUAGCUGCUUCUCAUUUACACUUCAUGUGUUUUAUUGAAGCAGACACUGAAGUAACAGAUGUGCUGUGUGUAAAGACUGAAUUGGAUCUGGGUGUCCAGGUAGUUCUUCAUCAGGACAGAGAACAUUAGGUCACUUUGUAAGAACAAUUUCUUAGUGUGAUUUCUAUAUUAAUACGUUGAACCACACAGAGGUGCUAAAAGUUUCACCUUUGCCAGUUAUACAUCGAGAGAUCUCAAAUUCAGAAAUAUUUCAACAAUGUACUCUUUGUAAGUCAAGUUUAACUCAGUACCCUUGCUUCAUAGCACUGCAUAACAUGAUUUUGUCUCUUCAUCUUUAUUUAUUUAUUUACAUAUUUACAGCUUUCAGAAAAUCCUGGCCUUUUGAUUCUUUUCCUUUUGCCCAAACCAACACAUUUAAUAUGGGUUUUGGGGAGUGAGUCAAAUUAUUUUUUUAAAAGACACAAUGAAAUAUUUAUAAUUAUAAAAGUAGUACAUGGUAGUUCUUUGCACAGUUAUUAAGUAGAAACGGGUAGAAAUAGCCUCUUAGAUAGAGUAGAUAAUAUAUGGAUCACAUGGUUAUGUUGUGCAAAGCCUUUUCAAAUUAAUUUCCAGGCAGUUGCGAGGAGAGAGGAGAAGAAUGUUACUUCAGCUUGUUUCUUUAAGCUGACCAAGAAGAUCAUUGAUAUUCAAAAGCUCAAAAUAUGUAACAGCUAGAUGCACUGAAGGGUUUGCCAGAUGUGCAACUUGGACAUUUACCAUUACGUUUGCAUAGUCUGGUUGUUUUGUAGUAUUAGAUCAGGGAUCCUCAAACAUUUUAAGCAGGGGGCCGGUCCACAAUCCUUCAGACUGUGGAGGGGCCGAAUUAUCAUUUGAAAAAGAAAUACGAACAAAUCCCUUUGCACACUGCACAUGUCUUAUUUGUAGUGCAAAACAACAACAACAACAAUGAAAGAACAAUAAAAUAUUUAAAAAUGAAAACAAUUUUAACCAACAUAAACCUAUCAGGAUUUCAAUAGGAUGUGUGGGCCUGCUUCUGGCCAAUGAGAUAGUCAAGUUAAUUAGGAUUGUUGUUGUUGUUGUGUGCCUUCAAGUCAUUUCAGACCUUGGGCAAUCCUAAGUCUAAAAUUAUUUAUUUAUUCAUUUACUACAUUUAUUUACAACAUUUAUAUCCUGCCCUUCUCACCCCGAAGGGGACUCAGAGCAGCUGUAUGUACAUACAAUAUAUUAUAUUAUUAACAAAGCACAAUAUUAGCAUUAUAUAUUACUAUAUUGAACUAUACCACUGUACUGUAAUAUUAUAUGUAAUAUAUAACAUGUAAUUAAUAUUAUUAUAUGGUAUUAUUAUUAGUAUUACAUUGUAUAACAUGAUAAUAUAUCAAUAUCAUAUGUAUAUAUAAUAUAUUAUAUUAUUAAAACUGAUAUAAAAAUAUUAUAUUAUAAAUGAGGGCCAGGUAAAUGACCUUGGAGGGCCACAUCUGGCCCCCGGGCCUUAGUUUGGGGACCCCUGUAUUAGAUAAUGGCACUACCAGACAAGCAGAAUGUAGAAAAUUGCAUGGUUAAUUUGUAUUAAUAAACUAGGAGAUUUGAUGCUACUUAUCUCAGAUAGUUUAGCGUGACUUAAAACAGUCAGUUUGCUGAACUGGAAAUACUAAUUGGUUGCAGCAAUGUAGGAGAACAAUACAUUACAACCAGUGUUUUAAACACAGUUUUAAUAACACACCUAGCCUUUAAAACCAUAGGAUGAGAGUGUGGUGUUGUAGCCCAUAUUUGUUGUUUUUAGAGGCAGACAUUGAUAAAGAGGAAACGAUAAAAGAAAGCCAAAAGCUGCUUUCAUGAGGGUUGGGAUGCAGCUCAUCUGAAAGUGGAAAGAACAUGACUAUCUCCAGAAUCCUCUCAAGAUCAGCAAGGGAAAACAAAGGGCCACUGUUCACUAACCCCCAGCUUCUCUCCCUGCUCAGUCUCUUUCUCCAUCUGCUUGCUUCCCCCCCCCCCCUUUUCCACUUUCCAGGCUUGCUUGCUCGCUCUACCCAUCCACUCAUUCACCUGUCAAUUUCUCUGCCUACUGGUUUGAUUCCCUUUCCUGCCUCUUUCUCCACCUCCCUUCCUGCUUGUGAACAUGGGGGACCUUGAUGGCAGGCCUCACUUUCACCCCCAAGGACCAACCUUCUUUGCUGUCCCUUAAUGUCUACCCCUUGUUCAAGGUCUCCUUAGUGUGUGUAUGUGUGUGUGUGUGUGCGUGCGCACGCGUGCGGGGCGGGAGGGCAGAAAAAAAGCCCAGCAAAGACCAACCCAUGCAGAUGCAGGUCUGUUGCUCAGUGCUCACUAGCCCCUUCUACACAGCUGUAGAAAAUCCACAUUGUCUUCUUUGAACUGGAUUAUAUGGCAGUGUAGACUAAAAUAAUCCAGUUCAAAGAAAACAUGUGGAUUUUCUGUUUUGAUAACCUUGAUUAUCUGGCAGUGUAGAAAAGGCUACUGUCCAUUUGAGUUUGUUGGGAUGUCCAGGAGAACAAUGAGGUCACCGAAGAGAAGUGAUUGAAAGGUGGGCAAGGAGAGGAAACGAGAAGAAAGGUCCCUCCGGGCCAAAAGAGAGACCCACUGUAAGCCCCCCAUUCAUUCUUCUUUCCUUUUUUCUGAAUUAAACUUGAGUGGGCAUGAAGACAGUUGAUGCUUUGGCUUUGCUGGGCUGUUUUUCUGCUCUCUCCUCCCAUCCAGAAGAGAAAUGAGUUCAUUGACUAGAACUCAGCUGAGAGGUGAACACGGAGGUAAAGCAAGAAGGAAGGCCCUCAGGGAUGAUAGGGUGGUCUUCUGAAGUAGGUUAGGCUGAAGUCUUUUCUACACUGCAAUAUAAUCCAGUAUCUGAUCCCAGAUUAUCUGCUUUGAAUUGGUCUAUAUGGCAGCAUAGACUCAUAUAAUUCAGUUCAGACUUCGUACACUACCAACUAUUCUUUUAUGUGGCAGCAUUGUUACAGUGUGGACAAUCUAAUUUGAAAUAUGCAUGGGUCAUUUUUAAAUUAAUGGAUUAAGAAUAGUUAAGACGAGCCAACUAGUAUGAUAUAAUAGUUAGUCUGUUAGACAGGGACCAGGAAAAUUAGCACGUUUACAGAAAUCAUGCCAAGUGGAUAUGAUAAGUUUUCCUCUGUUACUGCCUCUCUUCAAUAAGACCUUAUGCUUACAAUGUGCUUCCUUUUUCUAUGAUUGUUGAACUUCAUGUUUAUGUAUACAUUUAACAUAUCAGUGAUUGAGAGCGUAUACUAUUCUGCUCCAGAAUACCUUUACAAGUUUUAGUUGAAUGUUUUCUUGAGUUUUCUCAUCCACUUUGGGGCAAAAGAAUAGGGCCUAGGAGUUUUGGGUUCAGUGGACCAUAUGCCGCCUAUAACUAUCUAUACUUUCCCUGUUAGGUGCAUUAGGCUAAGAAGUGAAGUAAACCCAAUAUCUCUUAAUAGCAAAAGUGUGUCUUAUUAUGUUUUGGGAAAGACAUAUUGAUGAUGCAAUCAGAUUAAAAUAGGAAUGUGUGCAUCAUUGUAUUUUUGCUGGCUCUGACGGUAUUAUGGCUACAAUACUACUUUUAAAAAGUAGUAAAUAUUUCUACAGAGGUGGAUUUUUAUGGUGAAUCAAAACCUUUAUGUGGCAGUAGUUAUGUUUCUCUGUGGUUGUAACCUCUGUGAUUGAUAUUUAAAGCCUUAUUCAUUCUCAUUGGAAAUUUUUCCCUACCUUGGCAAGGCAUACACUUUCAGCAUGAAUGACAUGGUUAUCACAGUCACUUUUCCAGGAAGAGAAAUACUCAAAAUAAACUUGUUAGGUUGUAAUGGUAGAUACAUUUAUAUUAUUAUGCCAUAAUUUAGUUUUCUAGUUUUCAUUUCUUUAAAAUAAUCUUGCUCUGAAGAAGGAAUAUUAGAAGAAAGUAAUAAAUAUCAAAAACAGAAAAGGAUUUUGAUAGUGUUUUCCCAUCCAGACAUGAAUACUUUCCACCCAGACUGAGAAUAUAAAUGCCUCUGUGUUGUUUGUUUUAAAGGUAGCAUAUAAGAACAGAAAUGGCAUGCUUGAUAAUAACCUUUCCUAAAAUUGUUUAUAAUGGCUUAUAGUUUCUUUUAGUCUAUCAAAAGUUUACAUACUAGUCUCAUGAUGGCAGUUUUUAUAUUUGCUUCCUAGAAUAGAGUGUAUUGUGUAUACUCUGUUUUGAAUACAGGCAUGCAUAUAAUCUUUAAAAGGGUCUAUUCCCUAUUCUCUGUGGAUCUGUGAUGAAGUAUUUCUCUCCCUUUGAUGGUAACAGUAGUUAUGAAAUCUCAUCAACAAAUCUUCUGCCUGCAUGGGUAUACCUGCUGUCAAUAAAUGAAGUUAGGUAGUCUUGGCAUUCUCCCUGAAGCAAAACAGAUUUACGGGCUUGGAGGAGAUCCAGAUUCAUUGUUCAUACCGACCCCAAAGAUUUCUACCAAUCAGUCUGCUCUAGAGCUUUAUCUUGGCUAAGGUUACAACACAACAGAGGUCUUGAAGCAGUGUGAUAUUUCCUUGAUACCUUUAGUUGGUAAUCCUGAUUUUUUUUGAGGGACCAAAUGUUUUCUACCAACAAAUUGGACAGUGUAGAAAUUUACUCCUGAGGUCUCUUUCUAAAUGUGAUAGGCCAAAAUGUACAUUAUUUAGUUCAGGAGUGGCAAACUUGAGCACUGCUGGUUUUGACAAUCUGAAAAAGAAAGAUAAGAGCCUAGCACAAGGAGAACUCAACAUAGGACAGCUACAUAAAGAGUGGUGGCAAAAUCAGUAGUGGAUUUGCUGCUUCCUUGGCAGUGGAGCUAGAAGCCAUUCUUGCUUGAAUUCUUGCAAUUUAUAUGGAAAAACAGAAGGCUGGAAUAUAACUGAAAUAACUUUGAAAAUGUGGAGAGUGUGUAAGAUGUUCUAAAGAAGCUGGUAAAUGUCUUCUCACAUUUUCAUAAGAAUGCUUAACAAUAGCACAGAAAAUCUGAUGAACAUUUAAAUUGGAGUGUAUACACUGCAAUCUAUGUGUGUGGGAGUUGAUCAUAUUUCAGGAAAUUAUGCAGAAAGACAUGAAUUUACAGAACAAUCAAGAUGAAUCAAAAUUAUUUAACACCUUCCUUCCCCUGCCAUUCAGUCUUUCUAUAUGAGGAUAACAAAAAUUGACAUUAAACCAGCAGGACAUGCGGAAUUGUUUAAUUGCUCUGUCUGACAUCGGAUCUUUUUACACUGACCACUAAUGCAAGGCCACUUAGCAUAUUUUUUUAUUUAUUGUAUCAGAAGUGAACCGAGGGUACAGUUGUAAUGCAUUUAAAACACAAACAAAGUUAAAAACCUGUCAUUAUACGAAAUGUCCUUUGACCAGUAGCUGGCCACUUGGGAGUGCCUCUGGUGUUGCUAUUAGAAGGUCCUCCAUUGUGUAUGUGGCAGGGCUCAGGCUGCAUUGUAAUAGCUGGUCUGUGGUUUUCUCUUCUUCACACGCACAUGUCAUGGACUUUACUUUGUGGCCCCAUUUCUUAAGGUUGGCUCUGCAUCUCGUGGUGCCAGAGCGCAGCCUGUUCAGUGCCUUCCAAGUCACCCGGUCUUCUGUGUGCCCAGGAGGGAGUCUCUCAUUUGGUAUCAGCCAUGGAUUGCGGUUCUGGAUUUUAGCCUGCCACUUUUGUACUCCUGCUUGCUGAGGUGUUCCUGCAAGUAUCUCUGUAGAUUUUAGAAAACCAUUUCUUGAUUUAAGGUGUUAGCGUGCUGGCUGAUAUCCAAACAGGGGAUGUGCUCAGAUAGCAGCUGGAUAUGGACUCCCUCAACCAGCCGCCUCCCGCCCCCCAUAUUAUGGCUGUUCCAGCCAUGACACAUCACUUACCUGAUCCUCCAUGCUGUUUGACAUCAGGAAAGCCUCCUUUUUGCCUUUACCUCCUUUUUCAGCACCAGAACACCCAAGAGAAGUUGUUGCUGGGGGAGACAGGGGAUUGUCAUCUUGUGUACCUGGACCACCUGAACUGGAAGGACUUAGGAUGUCAGUCAAGACAGCUGUGGCUGGAACCAGCACAGCUGUCUUGACAUCCCUAAAGUCUGAAGAAAGCCCAAAUUCUGGAUCCGGAUUCAGACUUUCCCCCAACUUAGCCUAACACAGGGCAAGGCCAUGUUAAGGUGGCCUUGCCCAGGUAUGGCCAAAUCAGCCCUAUGUGUUUAGCCUCUCCAGGGCUAAUCUGAGUACACACUGACCGAAAGUAGUCAGUGUAGAUGAGCACUUAGAUGCUAAAAACAGAUAGUCUUAUAAAUGUAUUUAAGCAAUACCCAUACAUUUUCUCAGUGUAUGCAACAUAUCAAACAAAAUUUAUUGCAGUUAGUAUCCAGCUUGAGGGAAGAGAACCAUCAUGGGUAAGAGAGUGUACAUACAUUAUUGCCAGGUAAUCAAUAGAUUUGAGAUCAUUUAUUUAAAUCUAUUAAUCUUCAUUUUAAAAAGUAUUUUAUUAAGUUUACAAAUGUAUAAUAGAAGAGCAAAACAACAAAAAAACAGCAUUCUUUAUAACUAAUACUGUAAUAAUCCUAAAGUGCAAGCAAAGGAAAAAAGAAUAAAAAGCACUUUUGAUCUGUAUAUGAGCAGGUAUAUGUAACACCCCUAUCUCACCCUCUCUAGUUUCUCUGUUACAUAUGUCUUUCUUUUCCCCUCCCAAAAAGAAAAUAUUAAUAAUGAAGUCAGAAAAACAAAUAAUCCCUAUCUUUUCUCAAAAAGUCCAUAAAAGGUUUCCACACUUCAAGAAAUCUUCCUAAGGACCUAUCUUGAAUUAAAACUCAAUUCUUCCAUUUCAGCUAAGCCUAUCAACCUGGUUAUCCACUCAUCAGUGGUUGGUAUUGCUGAAUCUUUCUAUUUCUGCACAUAUGUCAGUCUUGCUACAGUAUUCAUAUAUUACAAUAAUCUUCCAUGUUUUUUCUUCUGGCUUUAGAUCCUCGGGUCCCAGGCAUAAUUUGGCCAUCUGCAACAAUAUAUGUAAUUGUGUCCAAAAUUUUACAGCUUUCUCACAGGUCCACCAAUCAUGAUAAAAAGUCACUUCUUGUUUCCCACACUUCCAACAAGUAUUAGCAACAUCUUUAUGUUGUUGUACUAGGCAGUACAAACAGCAGUCUCACAUUUUUCUGGGCUUAAUGAGCCCAUAAAACAAGCUGCCAUAUAAUCCAGUUCAAUGUGAAUUUUAUACAGCUGUGUGGAAGGGGCUCCAGUCGGGAUUUCUGUGAGUUAUAGUUACGAGUAAGAGCAUCCACUAUGGUUUGAAGUUCUAGAAGUAUGUUGUUGUUUUUUGUCUUCAAGUCAUUUCUGAUUUAUGACAACCCUAUCAUGGCAGUGUUGCGGGUGGAUGGGGUUAACAUUGCUUUCCUCUGAAGUUGGGAUUUUGUAUAGCUGAAUUUGAACUCUAGUCUACUGGAGUCUAACAACAUACUGGCUCUAGAGGUUUACCGGCAGUGUUCGAGUUACAAACAUCUGACUUACAAAUGACUCAUAGUUCAGAACAGGGAUGAGACAACAGGAAGCGAAAGAAAUCUACUCCUCAGAAGGGAAAUGCACUCCUGAAAGAGUUAUCAUGGGGAAAAGCUUUCUCACCAAGCGCCAAAUUUUUUCAAAAUCCAAUUAUCACAGGGACAGAAAGUGGGGUGAAAUCUUCAGAACAGGAGCACAUAUAGCAAAACAAAACUACAGAACCUAUCUUGUUCACAACUGUAAUGGAAGAAAGGAUGACUCAAACAAUUACCGUCCAGUCAGCCUCAUGUCGAUAAGGAUCGUUAAGGAAGUGGUCUGCUAACACUUAGAAAGGAAUGUGCUCAUCGCUAAUAGUCAACAUUGAUUUAUCAAGAACAAGUCAUGCCAGACUAAUCUGAUCUCUUUUUUGAUAGAGUUACAAGUUGGGUAGAUGCAGGAAAUGCCGUGGAUGUAUCUGGAUUUCAGUAAGGCCUUUGCCAAGGUCCCUUCUGGCAAACGAACUAGUCAAAUGUGGACUAGACAAAACUACAGUUAGGUGGAUCUGUAAUUGGCUAAGUGAACGAACCCAAAGGGUGCUCACCACUGCGUCUUCUUCAUCCUGGAAAGAAGUGACAAGUGGAGUGCCACAGGGUUACAUCCUGGGCCCGGUUCUGUUCAACAUUAAUGACUUUGAUGAAGAGUUAAAAGGCAUGAUCAUUAAGUUUGCAGACAACACCAAAUUGGGAGGGAUAGCUAAUACUCCAGAAGACAGGAGCAGAAUUCAAAGCGAUCUUAACAGAUUAGAGAGAUGGGCCAAAACUAACAAAAUUAAGUUCAACAGGGACCAAUGCAAGAUACUCUACUUAGGCAGAAAAAAAUGAAAUGCAAAGAUACAGGAUGGGGGACACCUGGCUCAACAGCAAUACAUGUGAAAAAGAUCUUGGAGACCUAGUGGACAACAAGUUAAAUAUGAGCCAACAAUGUAAUGCGGCAGCUAAAAAAGCCAAUGGGAUUUUGGCCUACAUAAAUAGGAGUAUAGUGUCUAGAUCCAGGAAAGUCAUGCUACCCCUCUAUCCCGCCUUGGUCAGACCACACCUGGAAUACUGUGUUCAAUUCUGGGCACCGCAAUUGAAGGGAGAUUUUGACAAGCUGGAAGGUGUCCAGAGAAGGGUGACUAAAAUGAUCAAGGGUCUGGAGAACAAGCCCUAUGAGGAGCAGUUUAAAGAGCUGGGCAUGUUUUGCCUGCAGAAGAGAAGGCUGAGAGGAGACAUGAUAGCUAUGUUUAAAUAUGUGAGAGGAAGUCAUAGGGAGGAGGAAGCAAGCUUGUUUUCUGCUGCCCUGGAGACUAGGACACGGAAUAAUGACUUCAAACUACAGGAAAGGAGCUUCCACCUGAACAUUAGGAAGAACUUCCUCACUGUGAGAGCUGUUCGGCAGUGGAACUCUCUGCCCCGGAGUGUGGUGGGGGCCCCUUCUUUGGAGGCUUUUAAGCAGAGGCUGGGUGGCCAUCUGUCAGAGGUGCUUUGAAUGCGAUUCCCUGCAUCUUGGCAAGGAGUUGGACUGGAUUGCCCAUGAGGUCUCUUCCAACUCUAUGAUUCUAUGAUUCUAUAAAAAGUUUUACUUCAGAAUUAUUUGUGUGCUUUUGUUUUCUAACUGUUUAACUUAAAAAAACAUAAUUGCAUGUUUCCUUGAUCUAGCAGAACUCUAAAAGGGAGCAGUCACUUAAAUUGUAUUGUAUGAAUGUAGUUUGGUGGAAUUUUAAAGGACGAGAGAUGUUGAUGUUUGGGACAGAUAGUUUCUGACAGAUGGCAAUAUUCUACAGUAAUCAUGGCUCAUUCUAGCAAAUGUGCCAUGACUGCAAAGAGAUUGGUAAACUGCUUGAAAGUAUGCAGAUACAGAUCUGACCAUCUCUAAGGUCAAAAUAGCUAUGAAUGACUCAAAUAAAAUAAAAUAGUUAUGUGUUACAAUAAACUGUAGAAAUCUGUGAAAGCAGGAUAAAUUACUCUGUUAAGCUUAAAUUUGAUUAAGAUUGGAUAUUAAGAGGGCAAAUGAGGAACAACAAUACAAAUCGUACUUACACUUAUGUGGACAGGAUAUUAAAGAGAUUUGGGGAAACUCCAUUUAAACAGCUCAGCUGAUCUUGAUAGUAGCCAACCUCCAAGGAAUUAAAGGAAUUAUCUUGUGUACUUAUGAAAAGUCAUGGAACAGCAGAUGGCAUUUGAAGAUUGGGAAGAAAAGCCCCAAAUGUAUUGCUGUUCAAAAAAGAAGGCAGAGUGAACCAGAUGAUAUUUCAUUAUUAAGUCCCUAUCUUGAUUUCUUUUGUAAUCAAAAGCAAAUGCCAAGAGACAAGUCAUGUAUAAUCAUAAUGUUUUUAAGUCAUGAAUAAAAGCAAGGAACUUGACUUGACAGUUAAAUAAAUAUUGAAAAGGAAUAUUCACAGUCAAGCUCAACCUAAACACUACCAUGGUUCGUACUGAUACUACCAGAAUACAUACAUCUGUUUUAUUGUUUUAUGCUAGCCAGCCACUACCCUAACCAAAAUAGCUUGCUCAAAGAAGAACCCUGUAACAAUAUGAGUGUUUGGGGGAAGAAUGGGAAGGGCAGCUUCUAGUUGAAGAUAGACUGUAAAUGAAAGCAAUGUAAUUGAGCAACAGGGAAUGCUUUAAAAAGAAGAGUACCUUGAACUUGGAUGUAUUUGUAUGAAUUUUAUAUGUUGUGUGCCACUUUGAAUCUCACCCACAGGAGAAAAGCGGGUUAGAAAUGAAUUAAUAAUAAUAAUAACAACAACAACAACAACUACUUGUGUAUGAAGCAGAAUAGGAAGCCAUUAUGGACUCAGAAACGGAAGGAACAAUCGGGUAGCAGGAACAACAGUUGUAUUUCUCUGUGGAUCAGCAAGAUGGGUGUCGUCUUAGCCUAGAUUCGAGUUUUCCAAAGUUUUAAAAUGAGCUUUACCAUAUGUUUAUGAAAGAAAGAUUAUUUCUCUCAGAUGGUGAAAAUGCCAACAAUAUAGAGCUUGGCUGGGAUGGCUUUUAAGCAGAGUCUGAAUGGCCAUUUGUUGGGGAUGCUUUGAAUGGCAGGGGGUUGGACUGGAUGCCCCAUGAGGUCUCUUCCAGCUCUAUGAUUCUAUGAUAUGCAAAUAGUUUGUAUGUGUUCAGAGUUAAGAGACUUUAUUCUCUCCUAUGGAAAUGUGAAAAGGGGAGGGACUGAGUUUAGUAAUAACAUUCCAUAUUUAGUUAUUUAAUAACAGCUCCUGCAUGCAUUACCAAUAUCAAUUAGUAUGGUUUCAACACUGUCAAUGCCUAUUUGAUACAAUGACUCUACAACCACUACUACAGUAUCAAUGGCAUUUGGCUACAUAGGAAUGUAAGUGUGAAAGUGCUUAUGCUCUUAUGUUCUGUUUGCAGUCUUCCCAGAAGCAUCUAGUUGGUUGCUAUGGGACUAAAAUAACAGACUGGACAAGCUUUUGACCUUGUUCAGCUAUUACAUUCUUAUUUCAGUAGCAAAAUAUUGGAUUAGAGAAGAGAAAUGCUGGGUACAGAUGCGGAAAUGUGAAUCUUUUGAAUAAAGCAGUUGAUAGUCUUAUAAAUAAGAGAACAAAUGUUGUCACCCAGGAAAGAUAACAGAAGUGAAGAGUUGGUGUACCCUGAGUCCUGAAGGGCCAGACAGGAAGACAUUAUGUUAAGCCAGUGAUUGAAGAAACGGAAGAAAAGAGAAAAAGAAGAAAAAGAGAAGACUGGGAGCUGUCAGUCAAAAAUUAAUUUUCAAAAGAAAAAUUAUCCCUUUCUCACACACACAUAUUAGACCGUGGUGAGAAUUAAACUGUAUCAAAACGAGUUUCUACCAGAAAUAUGCUUAUUCAUGUGAUCAGUCUGCAUGCCUCUUUUGAUUACGUGCGCAAAGGGCAAGGGAAAUAAUAGCAGUCUUCCUUUUUUUUAAAAAAAAAAGAGAGAGAGGAUUGUACUAAGAUUUCAUUAUUAUAGUUUAUAAAUCAAACAAUGAUUACCUGAACUUAGAAAUAAACUUUCUCUGUGGAAUUGUCAAAAUAUUUUUGCAUCUUUUUGAGAUUUAAUACAAAUUCAAAAUAUACUUUUGAAGGCAACAUCUAUGUUUCUCACAUCAUACUGCACACAGUCAACUAGCAUUUAAACAAGUGCUUUGAAAUUUGUUUCAGUUUGUUUCAUCUUUAAUUUAAACAGAUAAACAAGUACCCACAAACUCUAAGGGCAUUAAAACAACUUCACUGUAAUUUUGUGUUAUACUAUACUGUAUAUAUACUUUACAUUCUUAUCUUCUAAGAUGGUAACAUUCAGUUCAGUUAUCUUUUUAAGCCUGCAGUCUUUUAUCUAUCCCAAUUGGAAUAGAUCGUCUGAAUAACUGGCAUUAAAACUUUUAUGGGGGUUUCUUCAUUUGAACCAAGAGUAAACAGUUAUGUACAUUCUAUUUAAAUUAUUACAAAAUUAUUUUAGUAGUGAACAAGUGUAGAGUGCUACAGACUGAUCCUUUUGUUUCUUAUGAGUCUCAUAGCUGACAAUGUCAUCAUUUGUCAGAUAAAAUACUGCAGAAAUUGUUCUGUUUUUAUAAUGGCGGUUAAUGUCAGCUUUUGACUUUCCUGUUAGAUGUAUUACAUUUCUGAAGCGGAGAGAACUUAAUCUGUCUCAUAUUUUACUGAUUACAGGAACAAUGUAACUGUGAUGCUUUCAAUUUAUUUUAGAAAACUUGUAGUCAGUCAUCUUCCAUGAAAGAAAGAAAAAGCCCCAUAUAUGGUGUAAUUCUUCACGCAGCCAUUUGUGUCUUGUGCAACAUAUAUUUGCCUGUGUAAAUUAGCUGCUUUUUAGUGUUGACAGCCAAGGGAAUUUAGGCCAGUUGUCAACAUCUUUAUAUAAUUCUUAUUACAUAAGUAAUAAUACGAUCAACAUUAAAUAUUAAUAUAAUACAAAAUGGAUUUAAGUACUCAUAAAUUGAAGCCUCUGUAUGAAUGCAUAGUGCAAAUGACUAAAUAUUUUAUAAAAUACUUCAUUAAAUAUGUUAUAAUUACAGUGAAAAAAAUGAAUUAUUUCAACCGUUUAUAACCAGAAAUAGGACUAUAUUUUUUUCUUGGGAAAAUAAUGUUAUCAACUACACUUCUACAAAUGGGAUUAUAUCACAACAGAAGCGGCAAGGGGAUGUGUGAGGAGUGGUGAUAAAACUCAGACCCAUUACUACCAUAAAGCUUUCUCAGAGAGUGAACAUUCAAGCCCAGUUCCACCAUGCAGCACUCUCUAGGGUCUUGUACAGCUCGCUGUGAGCACCUGCCGUGAGCUCUUAUUUUAAAGAAACCUUUUUAGUGGCUCUUAAUGAGAGUCAUUCUUUUUCCAACACACUGCUUAAAAUUGAGAAGUUGAAUCACUUUUAACACUGGGAAGAAAGCUUUUAAAUAGAAAAUAAGAAGAAAAGAGGCAGGGAAUUCAAGAGACCAGAUUAGAUUUGGGGGAUUCUGCUUGGAAAUGACCCUUUCAUGAAAACUUGGGGAACCCUCACAUCACUCACUUCCCUUAUCCUCCAUACAAAUUAAGUGAAGAUGUUGGUCAUGUAUGCAUAUUUUAUAUCUAUGUAUCCAAAGUGGCAGGAAAUCUGCUCUGAAGUUUUGGUUGAACUUCAGUAGAACUGCCUAUGGUGCUGAAUUCAGUUCCCAAUACAGGUUCAGCACCUUGGAUAGCUUCUUUAACAUUAAUACUAACUGAAGUAAAUGCUACCAAUCACUUAUUUCUGUGUGUCUAUGUAAAAUUUGCACAUAUUUCUGUAUAUAAGUGCGCACACACACAGCCACCUGCUAGUAGUUAACACAUUAACUUUCACUGCUAUAAAUACGUAAUAUCCUAUUUUGUUAACCUGUGAAUAGAGCUGUUCCUAUUAUUCUCAGAAAGUAAAUGGGAACAUUGUAUGAUUAUAUGAGAAACUGUGGAAUAUUCUGAAUGAAGGGUGUUGUGUGGUUUCUGAAUUGUAUGGCUGUGUUCCAGCAGCAUUUUCUCCUGACUUAAACCUGCAUCUAUGGCUGGCAACUUCAGAGGAUGGGUGCUAGCCAUAUCUACAUUUCUUUACAUUAAUUAAGGUUCUCCAUUGAUAUUACUGAGAACUUCCUUCCUUUGAAUAAUACCUUCUUUGGGAUGGAAGUGCUUUUCAUUGGGACCAUGGUUAGGAUUGGGGAAUGAAGUUAAAAUGUUAAUGUACACUAGUCACUGAUUCUACUUGUACCAUCACCUCCCAUGACAUCUGUUUAAGUAAUGCAUGUGUGUAGGUGGGCCAUGCUAGCUACUUCUUUUGUAAUUAAAAAUGCAUCUGAUUCUCAAGCUGUACUUUUCAGUUCCUGGAUCUUUUGGACCCAUUUCUAGUAUUUCAAAAAUAUUUCUAGAAUGUUUUCCUUACUUUUAAUAUGCACUUUUGGUCUCUCUCUCUCUUGUGUUCCACAAUUGUAGUGGAACAAUCACUCUGUGCCAGGGGCAGUACGUGUUUAAAUUUGAUUGAGUCAUCAUUUGGUAAAUUAUGAAUGGUAAAAGCAGGAAGCUUCUCUUAUAUGCCCUUGAGCAUACUGCUUAGUAAUAUAGUAUGUUGAUCCUUUUCUGACGCAGUCACAAAUUACCCGAAGUCUUUAAACUUACCAGUAGAAAGCUAAUUAGUUAGGUUAUAUGUGCAUAAUUCAUUUGGGGGAAAUUGAAAGGGACUUCAGUUGUCUUCAAAAAGGCACAGCAUGUUAACAAUUACUUUAACUAUGUGGUGUCUAUAAAUACAAAGUGAUCUGGAAGUCUGCUUACAGAUCGUGUGAGAGAAGGAGGAAGUAGCACUCAUUUCUUUUCCUUCCUACUAAUUUGUGAGGAAACCUGUAUCAAAGAAUGCAAUAUCAAAAAAGUAUAUUAUAGUAUAUCAUAUGAAUAAUAACAAUUUGGCAGUCAGCCCCCCACCCAGUCUUUGCAAAAUCACUUUUUAAUACCAAUCAUUUUUGUGUCUUGGAUUUUCAAUAUUAAUAUUGGCGCAGUGGGUUGAACCCUUCUGCCGGCAGGACUGAUGACUUGAAGGUUGGGUUGCUGCCCUGAAGGUUGCCGGUUCGAUUCCAACUUGGGGAGGGUGUGGAUGAGCUCUUCCUGUCAGGUCCAGCUCCAUGCACGGACAUGAGAGAAGCCUCCCACAAGGAUGGGAAAAUCAUCAAAAACAUCCAGGCAUCCCCUGGGCAAUGUCCUUGCAGAUGGCCAAUUAUCUCACACCAGAAGUGACUUGCAGUUUCUCAAGCUGCUCCUGACACAAAAAAGUUAAUAUUUAUCAUCAUCAUCAUCAUCAUCAUCAUCAUCCUGAAAGGAACAAUGACUACCAGAGAACUGGCAUUCUUUAAGAUUAAAUACAGAUUGUUUUCACACUUAUAAAACUAUUUAAUUUUAUAACAGCUCUAGAAAAUAUACUGCUUUUAUUUGUAUAUAUUACUGAUUUCAGAAUGUUUUAAAUUCUAAUGCAGUCUUCAAGAGAAUGGAACACAUGCCAACCAAGUAAGUGUGGUGUUGAUGUCAUAGAAAUUGAUAGGGAAAUUAGUUGCAACCAACUCUAGGCCUCAUAAUAGGUUUUCCUUGGAGAUACCAUGAGUCAAAACAUUUUUCUGAAGACACACAGAAACAACAGCCUUUAUGCUGCACUUCAAGAAUAUAGUUAAAAGAUAAAAAUACAAUGAAUACAGUAUGGCCCUCUUAUUCACAGACUUAAUAUCCUUGGUCUCACUUACGUAAAAACUACUGUGCCUUUUAAUUGUGUUUAUAAUGCAACACUGCAGUAAUACAGAGGCAUUUUUAUCUUGUCUUUUUUCAGUGUAGAAAAAGCAGUGUCUGUAGAGAAUUUAUAGUUAAUAUUUUCAUUGUUCAUACUUGAGGCAUGCCUUUGAUGUGUGGUGCUCUGUUCUGUUUUUUAUCAAAAUAAGAAAGUGAAAGUACUCACUGUAGUGCUGAAGGCAUUUCAUAUAUAACAAUACACUGAGAAAUAUCUCUGUCUUAUGCUUUACUUAAUAGCUUUUCACGAUUCAUUGCUAUUAUUGUUGUUGUUGCAUAUUUGACAUGUUCUAUCCUGUUAUUAGUAAUUUAGAGCCAGCUAUAAAUGAUUGAUUCUUAAUCUGCAGGUAGAAUGAAGUUUUCCAUCACAUAUUUUACAGUGUGAAUGAACAGCUUCUUUCAUCUCCUCCUUGUAGAACUAGAAUAAUGCAGGAGGAAGAGUAUUGUACUAGAAUUGAAAAGAUCUGAGUGAUUGUGGGCUACAUUGUUCAGUAGCCUAACCUAUCUCUCAGGCUGUUGUGAAGAUAAACAUGGAAAAGAGGACUGUGUAUAUUGCCCUGAGCUUCUUGAGCUUCGUGUUUUGUAAAGUACUAUGUAUUUUAAUAUAUGCAUUUUAAUGAUAUUAUGUUUUACCUUGGUGUUUUAACUGUGUUAUAUGCUACCUCGAGAUGUGAUGUGAGGCAGAUAACAAAUACAAUUUAUUACUAUUUAUCAUUUUAAUCUUACUGAAAAAGCGGGAUAUAAAUGUAAGGAAUUAAUAAAUAAGUUUGUUUUUAAGCUGUUUUGAUUGUACAUCUAAGGAUGUGUCUACACUGGCCAGUAAAUCUAAGACCGGUUUGGAGCAGAAGCAUUCCCGAUUAGCUCCAGCUACCCCCCCCCCCCCCCCAUUUUGGCAGCAGGUUUGCGUCUACACGGCCCAGUCCUCCCUAUUUCCUGUUUCCAUAGGCACACCUGUUGAUGUCAGAAUGGGGUGCUGAUGAUGGCCAGGAAUUCAUACAGAGCUCUGUGGAUAGCUGGGAACAGCAAUAGUAGCAACAUGGGCGGGAUACAUCCCCUUUUUCUGGUAAUGAUAAGCACAGGUAAAAAAGGUAAUGGUUGUGCUGCCAUGUGUGUACAACGGUUAAUAAUCAGACCUUAUCCAAAUGUCCACAUUGGCUCAAAGCUAUGAGAUAUUUCAGAGUUUCAACCAAACUCCAGAGCAUCCCCUGACUUCCUGUAGUGGGGCAAAGCCAGGUUUUCCUGGCAUAACCUGCAAUACUCACUGGAAGUGGAGGAAUGUCAUGAAGGGAUAGCCAGGAGGCAAAUUAGGGUGACUCUUUUUCUAUGCCCAUGUAAACAAACCCUAAAUGUUGACCAAUUUCUUUUGUUUUUGCUAUGGUAGAGGAAAAAACGUGUCUGGUCACCUCAAAUCCUUUACUGCAAGAAAAGUGAGGUAUAUAUUUAAUUAAUUAAUAAAAUAAAAAUCCUAAAAUUCACGAGCCAGAGUGCUGUGUUCACACAUAAUGAAUUUGACCACACUUUAAUAAAUAUAAUGUUUGACUUCCUUUUUGCAGCCAUGCUGGAUGGUGGAGAACAUAUAGCAUUAAAAUUAUAAAGUAAUUUCCAUUUGGUAUCCUUUGACAGAUAAGUCAUAUAUUAGUAGAACAGAUAUUUUAAUUGUAGAUUAUCUGUUUUAAGUUGGUGUUGUAGUUUUAUAGCAUGAUACUGAACUUCUGGUGAAAAUCAUUGAAUAAUAUCUUUCUAAAUGUGUGUAUGUUUCUUUACAUGAAAUAAUCACAAUAAUUGUGGGAGAGUUUAAAAGAAGAAAGUAAUUAUCUGAUAAUUGAAAAUAAUUAUUAGUAAUGGAAACCGAUUUGCUGUGCUUUAUGCAUGUUAAUUCAUCUAACUUAGAAGUCAACUCCAUGAAGAAGUUCGUUAAACAAAAAGAUUCUACUGUCUCAUGAUAUUCUAGGUACAGAUUAUUUAUUCAUUUACUACAUUUAUAUCCUGCUCUCUCUCACCCCGAGGGGGAUUCAGAGCGGCGUGCAACAUGGCAAUAUUCAAUCCCACAUAUUCACAAAUAAAAAGCAGUACAUCAUGUAUAAAAUUGCAAAUAAAACAUAUAAACACCAUAAAACUAUUAUUCAUUCAGUUCCAAUGAAUGGCUUUCAGUAUGUUUCUUUGAUGAUAGAGUUCUUUAAAUACUUGGGACUCCUUGCCUUAUAACAAUUAUACAGCAAUUACUAUAAUACUGUAUCACAAAGACCUUUUUAAAUUUCACUUUCAACAUUAAUGAAUUUUAAAUUAGUCAUUAUUAAUAGAAUUGCUUAAUAUCAUUUAAAGACUGCUGACUAGAGCCUGCAAUUCUUCUCCCAUUCCAUUUUUAUAUAGAAUUUACAAUGAAUGCAUCCAUUGUUUCAGAUCAGUAUAAUUGCACCAAUCUCCCUUUUUCUUUUUGGACUAGGGGGGUUAAUAGUUUUUUUUAAGAGAAAUUGAUGUAAUACUUACUUGUCAGAGCUGUUCUUUGGAAUUUCUACCAAGGUACAUUCUGUAGGUACAGUGUUUCUAUUCUCUAACAAUAUUUAAAAUAUUAGAAUUAUUUAUUUAUUUAUUUAUUUGCAGCAUUUAUAUUCCGCCCUUCUCACCCCGAAGGGGACUCAGGGCGGAUCACAUUACACAUAUAGGCAAACAUUCAAUGCCUUUUAACAUAGAACAAAGACAAACAAACAUAGGCUCCGAGCGGGCCUUGAACUCAUGACCUCCUGGUCAGAGUGAUUCAUUGCAGUUAAUUGCAGCUGGCUUGCUCUCCCGCCUGCGCCACAGUGCAGUAUUUGAACCAAGUAUUUUCCUGAGACCAGAAUUAUAAAUCCAGUUAUAAUAUGCCAUACUUAUCUGAAGAGUACUCUUGAUCUCAAGUCUAACUAGUAGAGAGGAAGUUUUAACCUUUUAUGUUCCUUGUCCAUGAAUGCAGCAAAAAUAUCUUUGUAGAUUUUCCUUUAAGAUCAGGGGUUCCCAACCUUUGGGCCUCCAAGUGUUUUGGAUUUCAGCUCCCACAGUUACUAACAGCUGGCUGGGAUUUCUGGGAGGUGAAGUCCAAAACACCUGGAGGCCCAAAGGUUGGGAACCACUGCUUUAGAUGAAAAUACCAUAUAGUACAACCCUGAUAUCCAAGGUGGAUGAUUCUUGACUUUCCACAUAAAGCUGCAGAUAAUAGCAAACCUUAUCAAAAUGAUCAGUUUCUAGCAGAAUAAUGCUGGAGGCCAUGGAAAAUGCUUAGAGAGAACAUGGUAACUGAAGCCUUGGAUACCAGUUCUGUGAAUAUGGGAAUCAUACUGUAAUGUUUCAAAAAGACGGUGCUUGAACUGUAUGAAGAGAAACAUAAUUGUUGAAUGCUCCAUUUCCAUCUUCAUGGAUUUUUGGAUUGUCAAAGACCUUUUAUGGCUGCUUUUCAUAUGAAAAUACACAUUUUAAUUGCAUUUACGCUGAGCGUAACUCCUUACUGCUACAGGUGUAUUUUAUUUUAGAAUCAAUAUUUUCUGUUAAAAAUCAAUAUUCCCUGUAACAAUAUUGAAAGUUUUAUUAUUAUUUAUUCAUUUAUAUCCCGCUUUUCCCCCCAUCGGGGAUUCAAAGCAGCUAACAACAAGGUAUAAAACAUACAGGUACAUUAGAACAAAAAGGAAAUAAAUAUAGUCAGUAAUAGCAAUUAACACAUAAUAAGACAAUUAAACCAUAAUAAAACGCAUUACAGAUUAAAAUACAAUCAGCACUUUAGGUAUAGUUAAAAACUACAUAAACAUUUUUAAAAGGCUAUCACAACUAAAAGGACAAAUUUUGGACUCUUUCUCCCUCUCUCUCUCUCUCUCCCUCCCCCUCUCUCCCCCCCCCCCCCCCGGGCCGGCCAAUGUGUAGGUGUCUAUAAAGCAUUUUGUAACUGCUGCAAUUUGAAAUGAGGUUGAAGCUGCAUUAAAAGUCAUUGUAAGUGUGUCAUUAAUUCUCUAGUGCUAUUCUAUGGUAUUCUUUCGGCUCAAGUAAAGUCAAAAUAUGGGAAUGGGUAUUAUCCUCAGUUUUGGUUAUCCACUGAGAUGUGUGUGGUAAUUGUACUGUAUUUUUUCUGUGUGUAGAAAUUGGGCUCUUUUCUCUUAGUGCUCAUGGUGUGUGUGUGCGCAUAUGUGUAUGUGUGUAUAUGUAUAUAUGUAUAUAUAUAUAUAUAUAUAUAGAGAGAGAGAGAGAGAGAGAGAGAGAGAGAGAGAGCGAGAGCGAGCGCAAGAGAUCCACAUCAGUUUGUUAUGUUUCAGAAAAUUUUCAUUCUGGGAAUAAGUCAUCUUCUGAACAUUUCUAAAAUAUUCAAGUGCCAGAUUCUGUACAAGUCUGAUUUCUGAAUGAUUCCUUUUAAAAGCUGGAGAAUAUGGAUGGAGCUUAAUAAAAGUAAAUUAAUCCUUUUUCAAUCUAUGUUCUCCACCGCCACCCUUGCCAGGUUUGGUGGGAAUCUGAGGGGCCUUCUUCAGUGACCAUUUAAUGCAGUUUCAAACCAGUAUUGAAGAAAGUAAUUUCGCUGUGCAGGUAAUUACAUAGGAAAUCCUGGAACCAGUUUGAGGCACAGAUGGUGUUUUAGACCAGUCACAAAGCACUGGUGCACAUUAAGGGUUUUAUAUUGCAUGGUUUGUGGAUGUUUGUUGUCUGACCCCACAAUUUGAAGCUAGCAAUUUUGAAUUUCAUUAAAUGCAGCUUUUGAAGAAGUGUAGAUGGGGCCUGAGAUGGAGAAAAAAAAGAUAUAACCGUAAAAGUGGAUCAGGGAAUGUGUAAUUCUCCCCUCAUGUUUGAAAGACUUGGUAUCUGUGGGCCAGACUAUAUGGGCCUGUUAAUAAAUAUUUCAGACUGUUUUCUAAAAUAGGUUAUCCGAAGACCAGGUAUAAAGCGAUCUUAUGUGGAUUGGUGAUUUAAUUUGUGAUCUUAGAUGAGAAAGUUAAUUUUUUAACAUUUUGAAUAAUUUAUUAAUUGGUAUCACAAAUCAAUUACUCGGUUCACUUAAAUAAUAAUUUCAAAGGAGUCCAUUUUUAUUACCUAUCAAUUAACAUAAUUUUUCUGUGUUCACAUGGUUCAUAGAAAAGAUUUUUGGCAUAAAAUUUUACAGAUACAAGUAUCUUGUGAGCUGAUAAGUAAGCUAGAAAUUAUUAUUAUUAAUAUUAAUAUUCUGCCUUUUCUGUCCACAAGGAGACUCAAAGCGCUUAACAAUUAACAAUUUAAAAUCUACAAAUCUACAAACAUUACAACAGAAUUUUAACAACAAUAGUAUUAAAAAAUUCAGUUAAAAUCCAUAAACAUACUCAAAGCUAAAAAGUAGCCGUCAAGUUAAAACAACAUAUAGUACUGUGUAUACUGGACCAUCUACAUGCAUAGUUCUCCUAUCUUCUUGAAAAACAGAAUUUUCUAUCUACUAAUGUUAAACACAAAUGUCUAAUAUGUGAUAUAUGUGACUUCUAUGGAAAAUCUACAUAGGUAAGCCUCCCUUUGUUUUUGUUGCAGAAGAAAUAGUUAAUACCUGUUCCUCCAAUGGCUUAUUCCCCAUUAGAAGUUUAGUCUGGAAUCUAGAUGACAAUUUUACCAGUUACAAAAUUGAUGUUUCUUAAAAAGGGGUACUUCAGCAUUUUGUCAAAGCUGGCACAAAACAGGUGAAAUACAUCAUGAAAGUUCUUCUUUCCUGGUAUAAAAUCAUGCUCAAUCUCACAGCAUAAAUUAUCCUUCUCAACUUGUUUUAUGCAAAACAAAUUCAGAAUUGCAAGAACUGUGGAAAUAGGGGUCAUGUUCUUGGCCUCACCUGAAGAGCAGAGUUUAAGAUAAUCUCUCUGGUGUGGCAUUACAUAUCUAUCAACUCACUUUAGACUAGAUCCAAAAAUUAAUGAAAGUGCAAAGUGCUUGCAUAUUCCCUUUUUCCACAUUUCAAAAAGUACCUAACAUUUUCUGGAGGACAAUUUUUUGCAUUUUCUGCAAUUUCUUGUGCAUGUGUGGAGAUCCCAAAGUACACACAAGCAGAUUUCUUAUCUCUCUCUUCACCCAACUGUUAAUUCAAGCUCUGUUUACUAUUAUAAGAAAGGAAGGAAUGGUUGCAGAGAGUUUUAAUUGCAUUCAAGUUGUGCUUACCUUUAGCCAUCUGUGUGCCUCUGUCUCCAUUUUUGACAGCCUGAUCAGCUGUUUUGGGCUUUUAAAAGGCGCACAUGCACAGGAGCAAUCCAUAGAGAGGACGAGAAGGAAGUCAGAUGUUUUCCAUGACUGCAGAAAUAUACAGUGAUGUGAAAAUGCACAUUUUUUUUUGCGUGGAAUCGGGUUUUAAACCUUUUAAACACAUGCUUUUCAGCUGUUAACCCGAUUGCACCCACACUUUCCCCAAACAUUGUUUAACCACACAAACCCUUUUAUCCAGGUUCUUCUGGAUUUUACUGCAUGUGAAGAAUAACCCUAAGACAAACGUAUCAUGAAGUUUUCUAAGACUGAUUUGUUUACAGGGGGGUUGCUUUUGUUCUUGCCUUUCUCUGAAGCUGAGAAUGUGACUUGACUAAGAUCACCUAUUGGGUUUCCCUGACGGUACAGGGAUUCAGAGCUUUGUCUCCCAGCUUCCAAGUUCUGAACUGAGAUCACCAUGCCAUGCUGGUUCUCUGUGUACCAAGGCAAGAAGAAAACAUGAGUAGCGAAUGUCUGCUAUUGUGACCUUCCAUUUCAUUCAUGGAAUUAUGACCUUUGAUCAAAGAUGUAGUUGACCCAUUAUGUUUUCAGACUCCAAUUUCCAGAUGUCAGAGCCUGCACUUUUUAUGUCUGGGGGGCUAAAUGAUUGCAUUGUCAAAUGAGAUAUUUUAUUAUAGUAGUACAAUUUUGAAGUUGAGCAAUACUAGUUUCAUGGAGAUCACAGUGUAACUUUCAGGCAUAAUGCACUGUAUUUAUUCAAAAGCUCCAGGUAGAAACAGGGAACUUAAGUCCUUCUGGUUAUAUUUGCUUGAAAUGAUAGGCCAGAAUUCAAGAUUCAUAAGCAAUAUGCUCCUGCUGGCUGCCCAGUUUUUCCUAAUUGGUUCCUCCCAUGAACAGAGGUCCGUAAUAAUAAAAUCAUUAGAAAGAAACAGCCCAACAUUACAUGACAAUCCAAUUCCUGGUUUGUAACUCGCAAACAGGGUAGGAUACAGAAACAAACCCAAAUAACAAAUAAAUUCUGGCUGACUC